RNAcentral lists this ribosomal RNA (464 nucleotides) under uncultured bacterium. RNAcentral's name for it is "partial 16S ribosomal RNA". It matches the Rfam family "Bacterial small subunit ribosomal RNA", at positions 339 to 795 of the family's 1533-position model. The record is from RNAcentral.
CUACGGGUUGCACCAGUGGGGAAUAUUGCACAAUGGGCGCAAGCCUGAUGCAGCCAUGCCGCGUGUAUGAAGAAGGCCUUCGGGUUGUAAAGUACUUUCAGCGGGGAGGAAGGGAGUAAAGUUAAUACCUUUGCUCAUUGACGUUACCCGCAGAAGAAGCACCGGCUAACUCCGUGCCAGCAGCCGCGGUAAUACGGAGGGUGCAAGCGUUAAUCGGAAUUACUGGGCGUAAAGCGCACGCAGGCGGUUUGUUAAGUCAGAUGUGAAAUCCCCGGGCUCAACCUGGGAACUGCAUCUGAUACUGGCAAGCUAGAGGCUCGUAGAGGGGGGUAGAAUUCCAGGUGUAGCGGUGAAAUGCGUAGAGAUCUGGAGGAAUACCGGUGGCGAAGGCGGCCCCCUGGACGAAGACUGACGCUCAGGUGCGAAAGCGUGGGGAGCAAACAGGAUUAGAUACCCCCGUAGUC